Molecule: ribosomal RNA, 447 nt
Filed under: uncultured bacterium
Lineage: Bacteria
Description: bacterial SSU rRNA
Rfam family: Bacterial small subunit ribosomal RNA
Source: RNAcentral
UCGGGAAUUUUGGGCAAUGGGCGAAAGCCUGACCCAGCAACGCCGCGUGAAGGAUGAAGUAUUUCGGUAUGUAAACUUCGUAAGAAUAGGAAGAAUAAAUGACGGUACUAUUUGUAAGGUCCGGCUAACUACGUGCCAGCAGCCGCGGUAAUACGUAGGGACCAAGCGUUGUUCGGAUUUACUGGGCGUAAAGGGCGCGUAGGCGGUUUGUCAAGUCAGUUGUGAAAUCUCCGAGCUUAACUCGGAACGGUCAACUGAUACUGUCAAACUAGAGUACAGAAGGGGCAAUCGGAAUUCUUGGUGUAGCGGUGAAAUGCGUAGAUAUCGGAAGGAACAUCAGUUGCGAAGGCGGCUCUCUGGACUCAAACUGACGCUGAGGCACGAAAGCGUGGGUAGCGAACAGGAUUAGAUACCCCGGUAGUCCCUGAGCGGGCUGGCAAGGCGCAU